GAUUUAUCCUGGCUCAGGAUGAACGCUGGGGCGUGCCUAAUACAUGCAAGUCGAGCGAACAGACGAGGAGCUUGCUCCUUUGACGUUAGCGGCGGACGGGUGAGUAACACGUAGGUAACCUACCUAUAAGACUGGGAUAACUUCGGGAAACCGGAGCUAAUACCGGAUAAUAUUUCGAACCGCAUGGUUCGAUAGUGAAAGAUGGCUUUGCUAUCACUUAUAGAUGGACCUGCGCCGUAUUAGCUAGUUGGUAAGGUAACGGCUUACCAAGGCAACGAUACGUAGCCGACCUGAGAGGGUGAUCGGCCACACUGGAACUGAGACACGGUCCAGACUCCUACGGGAGGCAGCAGUAGGGAAUCUUCCGCAAUGGGCGAAAGCCUGACGGAGCAACGCCGCGUGAGUGAUGAAGGUGUUCGGAUCGUAAAACUCUGUUA
RNAcentral lists this ribosomal RNA (437 nucleotides) under Staphylococcus sp. 042-4.3-CV-A-07. RNAcentral describes it as "bacterial SSU rRNA". It matches the Rfam family "Bacterial small subunit ribosomal RNA", at positions 11 to 438 of the family's 1533-position model. Lineage: Bacteria; Bacillati; Bacillota; Bacilli; Caryophanales; Staphylococcaceae. The record is from RNAcentral.